This is a long non-coding RNA of Oncorhynchus masou masou (cherry salmon), 554 nucleotides long. RefSeq lists it as uncharacterized. The transcript is spliced from 3 exons. NCBI's taxonomy places the organism in Eukaryota, Metazoa, Chordata, Actinopteri, Salmoniformes, Salmonidae. The record is from RefSeq and is a predicted model, not a curated record.
CGUGCUAACUAGCUGUAGUUAUACACGUGUUGCGUUCUGCAAGUUAACAAACCAUACAUUUGAGUUCCGAAUAGCACGUGAACGCGGCAUCCAUGCAGAAGUAGAGCAUACUAUUCACACGUGAGGGACAAUUAAAUGGAGGAUCAGAUGGUGACAGGGGUCUCAGAGUCAGGCAGCCAGGGAAGACCAGUCUGACAGGACAAUGACCCAACACACCUCCAGGCUAUGUAAGGGCUAUUUGACCAAUAAUGAGAGUGAUGGAGUCCUGCAUCAGAUGAUCUGGCCUCCACAAUCGCCCAACCUCAACCCAAUUGAGAUAGUUUGGGAUGAGUUGGACCGCAGAGUGAAGGAAAGCAGCCAACAAGUGCUCAGCAUAUGUGGGAACUCCUUCAAGACUGUUGGAAAAGCAUUCCAGAUGAAGCUGGUUGAGAGAAUGCCAAGAUUGAAGAAUCUCACAUAUAAAAUAUAUUUUGAUUUGUUUAACACUUUUUUGUUACUACAUGAUUCCAUGUGUUAAUAUAUAGUUUUGAUGUCUUCACUAUUAUUCUAUAAUA